CCUACGGUGAGCUGCAGUGAGGAAUAUUGGUCAAUGGACGCAAGUCUGAACCAGCCAUGCCGCGUGCAGGAAGACGGCUCUAUGAGUUGUAAACUGCUUUUGUACGAGGGUAAACGCAGAUACGCGUAUCUGUCUGAAAGUAUCGUACGAAUAAGGAUCGGCUAACUCCGUGCCAGCAGCCGCGGUAAUCCGGAGGAUUCAAGCGUUAUCCGGAUUUAUUGGGUUUAAAGGGUGCGUAGGCGGUCGGAUAAGUUAGAGGUGAAAUCCCGAGGCUCAACUUCGGAAUUGCCUCUGAUACUGUUCGGCUAGAGAGUAGUUGCGGUAGGCGGAAUGUAUGGUGUAGCGGUGAAAUGCUUAGAGAUCAUACAGAACACCGAUUGCGAAGGCAGCUUACCAAGCUACUUCUGACGUUGAGGCACGAAAGCGUGGGGAGCAAACAGGAUUAGAUACCCGAGUAGUC
RNAcentral lists this ribosomal RNA (460 nucleotides) under uncultured bacterium. Its description in RNAcentral is "partial 16S ribosomal RNA". It matches the Rfam family "Bacterial small subunit ribosomal RNA", at positions 338 to 795 of the family's 1533-position model. The record is from RNAcentral.